GUCUAGUUGCGUUUCUUCCGUCUUCUGAGGCACUCCAACUCCCGUCGCCGCAAUUUGCGACUUUCUGUGGCUGCCGCGGAUGCGGCCCAUCGCCCAUCACACAUUCGGCACAACCGCCUCUCUUUUCAUCCCCUUUCGCUACACUCUGGUUCUGAGCAUCUGAACAAAGGAUGUGCACACCGGAAGUAACGGAGCACACGCGCAUCCAUUACGUGUGCCACAGGUGACGGAGAUUCCAGGAGAGCGGACAUCAUGAGAAUCCACCAGCGAACGAGUCAACGACCUCACACCGUGACUGUGAGGAAAAAGGUGUGUGGUUGCUUGGUGAUGCGCUAGUGGUCUUGUCUGGAGGUAUCGUGGCUGACCAAGGUACCCCUGCUGGCAACGUUGUGCUUCUUUAGGGCGGUGGCGGUGGUGGAAAGGACUAGAGAGGGGGAUGUAGGUGGAUUAAGGAGGGGCGGCAGUUUAGCUGCUACUAGAGAGAUGCUCGGCCACGCUGUUUUCGACCCGACGUGGCUGAUGUGCGUGUGAGUCUGCAAAUGCCUGUGGCGAUGCGUGCGUGCGUGCGUAGAUGUGCUUCUGUGUGCAGCAGAGAGGUGGGGAGAGACAUGUCGGUGCCGCCUUCCUUUCUUCUUGCAGCCUUGAGUCUGCCAUCUCAUACAUUAAGGGUUCAACACUGAGAGGGAUGUCUUUGUGCGGGUGCGUGUGCGUGUGUGCGCGCCCGUGUGGUCUGACCAGAGGGGCGUGCUCGGACGCGCUCUUCCGCCCUCUUCGCGCUCCACACACACACACACACACACCCUUGCACAGACCUCUGCCCCCUCUCGCCUUUAUUCCAUAGUGUUUGCCUGAGUCAUGUGAGAGAGAGCGAGUGUGCGGCGAAGCGAAAAGGACAACCAAAACUUGUUUUCGGGCGUGCGUGUGCAUGCCUCGCGGUUAUUAUGGCAGCGUCUUGCCCGGCCCCCCUUCCCCUUCCCCUAUGCACACAGUCGCAUGCUCAACUACGAGAAUGGGGCGCGGGCGUGUUGGAAAACCAAGCAGAACAGUAGACGAAAGCAUAACUCUGCCGAAUGGGCAGAGCGGUGUCUUCCGUCUCUCUCUCAUGUACCCCGCGG
RNAcentral lists this unclassified non-coding RNA (1115 nucleotides) under Leishmania donovani. RNAcentral's name for it is "gene:unknown". The record is from RNAcentral. Lineage: Eukaryota; Euglenozoa; Kinetoplastea; Trypanosomatida; Trypanosomatidae.